CGGCAACAGCUCAAAUUUGAAAUCUGGCCCCCCUUGGGGGUCCGAGUUGUAAUCUGCAGAGGGUGCCUUGGCAUCGGCGGCGGUCUAAGUUCCUUGGAACAGGACAUCGCAGAGGGUGAGAAUCCCGUACGUGGUCGCCCGCCUUUGCCGUGUAUGGCCCCUUCGAC
RNAcentral lists this ribosomal RNA (167 nucleotides) under Didymosphaeriaceae sp. RNAcentral's name for it is "partial large subunit ribosomal RNA". It matches the Rfam family "Eukaryotic large subunit ribosomal RNA", at positions 99 to 261 of the family's 3401-position model. Lineage: Eukaryota; Fungi; Ascomycota; Dothideomycetes; Pleosporales; Didymosphaeriaceae. The record is from RNAcentral.